GAAGUAAAUCUGACCUUCAGGUAGGUACUGUUAUUUUCACAAUCAUUCAUACAAGAUGUGCCAAGUUAUAAACUGAGAUUAAAGAUUUUACUAUAGUAUUGUUGCUGAAUGUGCUUAUUUGUCACUUUAUACACCAACAUUAAUUUGAUGCGAAGUCAAGUGAAAGUUAUGAAAUUCGUCAAGUUACUUUCAUCCAAUUAUACAAGUUUCAGUAAUUUAUUAUUUCUUUUAUACUUACCGCAUUUCGAUGUUGAGGACUGGCAGAUGAUGGUGGCAUUGUAUUGAACAGUGUGGCAGGUGUAGGUACGAAUCCUUUUGGCUGAGAAGGAGGCGCAGCCCAUGUCCUCGUAUCUUGAUACAGUCGUGAGUCCUGCUGGCUGUGGACUAUAUCGAAGUUCAACUGGCUGCUGAUAACCUGCCGCAGCCAUUUCGUUCGCUAAGCUUUCAGGUGGUAACGGUUGACCCCAUGUUCGUCGCUGAGAUUGCGCAUGAUCAUGUAAGUAGAACUGUGACUGUUGAGGGUCCUGAAUUCUCGUUGGUAUUGAAUUCAUUGGUGGUAUGGCAUAAUUCUGUGCAAUAAAUUGAUAUUUACCAUGUACAAUCUGUGCAUUUUAACAUAAACAGAAUAAAGGAACAGAGAAUCUACAAAGUAAUUUUCUCUUCCUGCUGGCAGUUGUAACAUGUUGCCUUUACCUGCAUAUGUUGCUGGCUUAAACUCUUUAAUUGCUGUAGUUGUUGCUGCAUCUGCUGCUGAUGUUGGCUCAUUAAAUGUUGUUGUUGAAUUUGAUUUUGUUGAUUGGCUAGCCGCUGUAUAUCUGCUUGAAUUUCGCUAAGACUGCUAUUCAUUCUGAAAAAAGUGAAAUGGGAUGUGAAAAUUUAUAAAUAUAAAUUAAAGCAUAGUAAUAGAAAUACUAACUGUGAUAUAGACUCAUGGUACUGAUCUAUGUCCAUAUUCUCAAUGUCUGGUGUGCGUCGUGUUUCGAUAAAAGGUGCACUGCCAUCCUGCUCAAGCCAUUUAUGUUCCACAUCUCGCACAUCUUCACUGAUUUCCU
This 1052-nucleotide long non-coding RNA is filed under the name Neodiprion lecontei (redheaded pine sawfly). Its description in RNAcentral is "uncharacterized LOC124293126". Lineage: Eukaryota; Metazoa; Arthropoda; Insecta; Hymenoptera; Diprionidae. The record is from RNAcentral.